Molecule: unclassified non-coding RNA, 245 nt
Filed under: plant metagenome
Description: partial contains small subunit ribosomal RNA, internal transcribed spacer 1, and 5.8S ribosomal RNA
Source: RNAcentral
UAUCCGUUGGUGAACCAGCGGAGGGAUCAUUACCGAGUUUACAACUCCCAAACCCAAUGUGAACGUUACCAAACUGUUGCCUCGGCGGGGUCACGCCCCGGGUGCGUCGCAGCCCCGGAACCAGGCGCCCGCCGGAGGAACCAACCAAACUCUUUCCGUAGUCCCCUCGCGGACGUUAUUUCUUACAGCUCUGAGCAAAAAUUCAAAAUGAAUCAAAACUUUCAACAACGGAUCUCUUGGUUCUG